UCCGUAGGUGGAUAAUUAAGUCAGAGGUGAAAUCCUGCAGCUCAACUGUAGAAUUGCCUUUGAUACUGGUUAUCUUGAGUCAUUAUGAAGUGGUUAGAAUGUGUAGUGUAGCGGCGAAAUGCAUAGAUAUUACACAGAAUACCGAUUGCGAAGGCAGAUCACUAAUAAUGUACUGACACUGAGGGACGAAAGCGUGGGGAGCGAACAGGAUUAGAUACCCUGGUAGUCC
RNAcentral lists this ribosomal RNA (229 nucleotides) under uncultured bacterium. RNAcentral's name for it is "partial 16S ribosomal RNA". It matches the Rfam family "Bacterial small subunit ribosomal RNA", at positions 568 to 796 of the family's 1533-position model. The record is from RNAcentral.